This is a non-coding RNA of Acanthosepion pharaonis, 113 nucleotides long. The record is from the annotation of a GenBank genome assembly. Lineage: Eukaryota; Metazoa; Mollusca; Cephalopoda; Sepiida; Sepiidae.
UUGCUGCCAUAUCACAUUGAAAUACUGAUUCCCAUAUGAUCACCAAAAGUUGAGCAACAUUGAGCCUGAUAAGUAUCUAGAUGGGUGACAACUUGGGAAUACCAGGGGCUGGA